Molecule: ribosomal RNA, 467 nt
Filed under: uncultured bacterium
Lineage: Bacteria
Description: partial 16S ribosomal RNA
Rfam family: Bacterial small subunit ribosomal RNA
Source: RNAcentral
GACGAACGCUGGCGGCGUGCUUAACACAUGCCAGUCGAACGGAAAGGCCCCGCUUUUGUGGGGUGCUCGAGUGGCGAACGGGUGAGUAACACGUGAGUAACCUGCCCUUGACUUUGGGAUAACUUCAGGAAACUGGGGCUAAUACCGGAUAGGAGCUCCUGCUGCAUGGUGGGGGUUGGAAAGUUUCGGCGGUUGGGGAUGGACUCGCGGCUUAUCAGCUUGUUGGUGGGGUAGUGGCUUACCAAGGCUUUGACGGGUAGCCGGCCUGAGAGGGUGACCGGCCACAUUGGGACUGAGAUACGGCCCAGACUCCUACGGGAGGCAGCAGUGGGGAAUAUUGCACAAUGGGCGGAAGCCUGAUGCAGCAACGCCGCGUGCGGGAUGACGGCCUUCGGGUUGUAAACCGCUUUCGCCUGUGACGAAGCGUGAGUGACGGUAAUGGGUAAAGAAGCACCGGCUAACUACGU